This 497-nucleotide ribosomal RNA is filed under the name uncultured bacterium. Its description in RNAcentral is "partial 16S ribosomal RNA". It matches the Rfam family "Bacterial small subunit ribosomal RNA", at positions 28 to 507 of the family's 1533-position model. The record is from RNAcentral.
GAUGAACGCUGGCGGCGUGCCUAAUACAUGCAAGUCGAGCGAACAGACGAGGAGCUUGCUCCUCUGAUGUUAGCGGCGGACGGGUGAGUAACACGUGGAUAACCUACCUAUAAGACUGGGAUAACUUCGGGAAACCGGAGCUAAUACCGGAUAAUAUUUUGAACCGCAUGGUUCAAUAGUUAAAGACGGUUUUGCUGUCACUUAUAGAUGGCUCCGCGCCGCAUUAGCUAGUUGGUAAGGUAACGGCUUACCAAGGCGACGAUGCGUAGCCGACCUGAGAGGGUGAUCGGCCACACUGGAACUGAGACACGGUCCAGACUCCUACGGGAGGCAGCAGUAGGGAAUCUUCCGCAAUGGGCGAAAGCCUGACGGAGCAACGCCGCGUGAGUGAUGAAGGUCUUCGGAUCGUAAAACUCUGUUAUUAGGGAAGAACAAAUGUGUAAGUAACUAUGCACGUCUUGACGGUACCUAAUCAGAAAGCCACGGCUAACUACGUG